AGUGAACGCUGGCGGUAGGCCUAACACAUGCAAGUCGAACGGCAGCACAGGAGAGCUUGCUCUCUGGGUGGUGAGUGGCGGACGGGUGAGGAAUACAUCGGAAUCUACUCUGUCGUGGGGGAUAACGUAGGGAAACUUACGCUAAUACCGCAUACGACCUACGGGUGAAAGCAGGGGACCUUCGGGCCUUGCGCGUUUGAAUGAGCCGAUGUCGGAUUAGCUAGUUGGCGGGGUAGAGGCCCACCAAGGCGACGAUCCGUAGCUGGUCUGAGAGGAUGAUCAGCCACACUGGAACUGAGACACGGUCCAGACUCCUACGGGAGGCAGCAGUGGGGAAUAUUGGACAAUGGGCGCAAGCCUGAUCCAGCCAUACCGCGUGGGUGAAGAAGGCCUUCGGGUUGUAAAGCCCUUUUGUUGGGAAAGAAAUCCAGCUGGCUAAUACCCGGUUGGGAUGACGGUACCCAAAGAAUAAGCACCGGCUAACUUCGUGCCAGCCGCCGCCGUAA
RNAcentral lists this ribosomal RNA (506 nucleotides) under uncultured bacterium. RNAcentral's name for it is "partial 16S ribosomal RNA". It matches the Rfam family "Bacterial small subunit ribosomal RNA", at positions 29 to 523 of the family's 1533-position model. The record is from RNAcentral.